RNAcentral lists this unclassified non-coding RNA (218 nucleotides) under Hevea brasiliensis (rubber tree). The record is from RNAcentral. Lineage: Eukaryota; Viridiplantae; Streptophyta; Magnoliopsida; Malpighiales; Euphorbiaceae.
AUUAAGAAGCUUUACUUUGGCAGGUUUGUAAACAUUGCGCUGCUCUUUAGCUUUUCAUGUCAUCUUAAUGGUAGAUAGAACACAGGAAAAACAUAAUGAUCACAGCAGUUCAGUUGCAAGUGGCAUAAAAAGAACAAAAAGAUUUUGCAUUUAUGUGUGUAUUAUUGCUGUCAAAUUUAUUUGAUUUACUUGCUGUUAGUACCUUCUAAUCUCAUAGU